Molecule: ribosomal RNA, 481 nt
Filed under: uncultured bacterium
Lineage: Bacteria
Description: partial 16S ribosomal RNA
Rfam family: Bacterial small subunit ribosomal RNA
Source: RNAcentral
GACGAACGUUGGCGGCGUGCUUAAUACAUGCAAGUCCACUGAAGCAGUGGUAGCAAUCUCGCUGUGGAGGUGGCGCACGGGUGAGUAACACGUAGGUAAUCUGCCUUCAGGUCUGGCAUAACUCCGGGAAACCGGGGCUAAUAGCAGAUGAUGCAGCGGCUCGACAUCGAGACAGUUGUUAAAGCUAUGGCGCCUGAAGAUGAGCCUGCGUCUGAUUAGCUAGUUGGCGGGGUAACGGCCCACCAAGGCAACGAUCAGUAGCUGGUCUGAGAGGAUGAUCAGCCACACUGGAACUGAGACACGGUCCAGACUCCUACGGGAGGCAGCAGUAAGGAAUAUUGCCCAAUGGGAGAAAUCCUGAAGCAGCAACGCCGCGUGAGGGACGAAGGGCUUUUGCUUGUAAACCUCUGUAGUGAGAGAAAAAAAUCCCAAUCUUUGGGACAUGAUGGUAUCUCAAAAGUAAGCCCCGGCUAACUACGUG